Molecule: long non-coding RNA, 538 nt
Organism: Mustela erminea (ermine)
Lineage: Eukaryota; Metazoa; Chordata; Mammalia; Carnivora; Mustelidae
Exons: 5
Source: RefSeq, a predicted model, not a curated record
CCAGAGGCCCUGAAAAGGUGUUUGUUUUCCUCUGCUUUUAACCAGCUGGGUGCCAGCAUUUUCUUUCCUCCUCUCCAUCUGACUCUAGGUGGAGACCAGGGCUCUCUCCCAGCUCUCACAGGACAUGCGUGACCAUCAGGAACCACCUCGAAUGGUGAAGGUGGAGGGAGGUGUCAGAGGUCCGGAUGAGACGUGGACACUCAGUAGCUCAGACUUCCCUCCUGUGCGAUACAACGGAAAUGCUAUCUGGAUGACAGUUGGUGGACCCGAUUCCCGCACCCAGUUCUCCCGAAUCAGAUCUACUUGAAGGGGAGCAAGGCGCAGAAGGCAACACGAGGCAGCUGCGAGAAUUAAUUCACCGCGAGAGUUGACAUUUUCGAGCUGACUGACUCUUAGAGAAAAUGAUGUCACCCUCCAGCAGCCUAAUGACAGUCAUCAGCCCGGGAGGACACACGCUAAUAAGGUGUUGGAACCAGCGUUGGCGUUGAGCAAGGCCAUUGCUUCAAGAGGCUGGGUUGCCUGACGUGAAGAAGGAGAG